Molecule: long non-coding RNA, 1189 nt
Organism: Papilio polytes (common Mormon)
Lineage: Eukaryota; Metazoa; Arthropoda; Insecta; Lepidoptera; Papilionidae
Exons: 4
Source: RefSeq, a predicted model, not a curated record
UCAUUCCCGAAACCGCGCUCACAAGUAACGCACGCGCCGUGCCAACAAAAUAGCGCCAAACAUUGUCAUGAGUAGACAAUUAUUUAUUACUGGCCAGUAACAAUUAUAAAACAGUUGUCAUUUAUGAUACUGGCAGCAUGGCACGGAACUUGUGGCUCCUGGUACUAUCCUUCUGCAUACUGAACCAUCAAAUCAACAGUUUCGUUCUCCAUUCACCGGAAACCACACCAUCAGGCAACGACGAACACAAUCUCAAAGAAGAAAUAGUAAACAACGAAGAGAAAAUAUCAAACCUAACAAGACAAAUAUCUGAUGAUUACAAAAAAUAUAGUUACCUGAUUACCACAUACUUAUAACGAACAUCAAGAAAUAAUAAAUACUAACGUAUUGUAAAUAUGCAAUUUAGAUAACGUUAAAGACAACCAUUCAACGUCUAAAACAUCAUCGACUCACUUUGAUGUAAAAAUUCUUUCCAAAGAUUAAGAUAAAAACACCAAUUGUUCCUAAAAUCGAUUAGGUAUUAAAUGGAAUUUAAGUUGGCACAUCGGGAAUAAGAGUACUCUUGUUAUGAUGUGCCAACUCUAUUUCUGGAUGUUUUGUUUUUAGUAAUACUGACUACUGCAAAUCGAAAGCAACUGUCAAAAUACUUAGUGAUGUUAUUUUAAUAAAUCAUUUAAAUAUAAAAGGAUGAAAAUAUAAUUAUUACAAAAAGUUUUUGUUAACUGUUAUGGCUCUGGUGACGUCAUUAAAGCCUAAUUUGAUAGACGCUUCUAGCAAACCUUUUAACAAUUGGAACGACGAAGAUUUCAGUAAUAACAGAGAUUUAGUACAAGCAAAACCUAACAUUCUUGAUAGUUUAAAAAAUAUAAUUCUUACGCACGUUUUGAGAAAAAUUGUUACCAUAAUGUCGAUACCGAAAACGUUAGCAAUGGCAGCGUUGUUUAAUUUUUUACAACUGGUUGCUGGAUUUUUAGCAUUUAUUAUGGAUAAUAAUUAUAUACCUUACCUAUUGCCUAGAUUAUGGAGCAUAAUUACUAGUGCUAUCAGAUCACUGAAUAGCACAAGAUGAAGAUGGCAACACUUAAAAUUGAGACAUUUGCUUCAACAUUGAUAGACCGAUUAAUAAAUGUUAGAAUUCAGAAACGGACGGUGGCUUCUACAAACGGGUUGUUGAUAUGCCAAGGUACAU